AACCCAUAUUGAGGAUAUUUCCACAGGAGCUCCUUAAACCUCUCCCAUCUCUCAAAUAGAGACUCCAAUUCCGUUUAUACAAAGGCGGAUAUUUCAUUUCUAAGCUU
Small nucleolar RNA from Dioscorea cayenensis subsp. rotundata (Guinea yam), 107 nucleotides. NCBI's taxonomy places the organism in Eukaryota, Viridiplantae, Streptophyta, Magnoliopsida, Dioscoreales, Dioscoreaceae. The record is from RefSeq and is a predicted model, not a curated record.